GUCAGUUUGAUAGGGCAUGGCUAGGUCAGUUUGAUAGGGCAUGGCUAGGUCAGUUUGAUAGAGGGCGGCUCAGUCAGUUUGAUUGGGCAUGGCUAGGUCAGUUUGAUAGGGCAUGGCUAGGUCAGUUUGAUAGGGCAUAGCUUGGUCAGUUUGAUAGGGCAUGGCUAGGUCAGUUUGAUAGGGCAUGGCUCGGUCAGUUUGAUAGGGCAUGGCUAGGUCAGUUUGAUAGGGCAUGGCUAGGUCAGUUUGAUAGGGCAUGGCUCGGUCAGUUUGAUAGAGGACUGCUCAGUCAGUUUGAUAGGGCAUGGCUAGGUCAGUUUGAUAGGGCAUGGCUAGGUCAGUUUGAUAGGGCAUGGCUCGGUCAGUUUGAUAGAGGAC
RNAcentral lists this long non-coding RNA (378 nucleotides) under Salmo salar (Atlantic salmon). RNAcentral's name for it is "lncRNA (ENSSSAG00000121948.1)". The record is from RNAcentral. Lineage: Eukaryota; Metazoa; Chordata; Actinopteri; Salmoniformes; Salmonidae.